GCCGGAAUAGCUCAGUCGGUAGAGCAACUGAUUCGUAAUCAGUAGGUCGGAGGUUCGAUUCCUCUUUCCGGCACCA
This 76-nucleotide transfer RNA is filed under the name Alloalcanivorax venustensis. Its description in RNAcentral is "tRNA-Thr". It matches the Rfam family "tRNA". Rfam says of the family: Transfer RNA (tRNA) molecules are approximately 80 nucleotides in length. The record is from RNAcentral. RNAcentral also lists the same sequence under 28 other names. Lineage: Bacteria; Pseudomonadati; Pseudomonadota; Gammaproteobacteria; Oceanospirillales; Alcanivoracaceae.